This 274-nucleotide ribosomal RNA is filed under the name uncultured bacterium. RNAcentral's name for it is "partial 16S ribosomal RNA". It matches the Rfam family "Bacterial small subunit ribosomal RNA", at positions 523 to 796 of the family's 1533-position model. The record is from RNAcentral.
AUACGAAGGGGUCUAGCGUUGUUCGGAUUUACUGGGCGUAAAGCGCACGUAGGCGGAUUGAUUAGUUAGGGGUGAAAUCCCGAGGCUCAACCUCGGAACUGCCUUUAAUACUGUCAAUCUCGAGACCGGAAGAGGUGAGUGGAACUCCUAGUGUAGAGGUGGAAUUCGUAGAUAUUAGGAAGAACACCAGUGGCGAAGGCGGCUCACUGGUCCGGUACUGACGCUGAGGUGCGAAAGCGUGGGGAGCGAACAGGAUUAGAUACCCUAGUAGUCC